Molecule: long non-coding RNA, 816 nt
Organism: Mustela lutreola (European mink)
Lineage: Eukaryota; Metazoa; Chordata; Mammalia; Carnivora; Mustelidae
Exons: 6
Source: RefSeq, a predicted model, not a curated record
CUCAGUAAGCGGGGAAGAAGCAGGUUAGGCCAGACACAACAUUAGUGUCCCGGGGCUUGGACUGGAGUCGAAUAACUGGUCUGCCUUCCCCAAAGGGAGAUUAUUCUGCCUGCAGACCUCCUGGCAACUCGGGAGCAUCGCUGACACGGUGGCCGGCCCUGCGACAGCCUUCACCCAGAAGACUCUGUGAAAGAUACUCCCUGGGGUCUGUGUGCUGGGACAGGGAAAAGGGACUGGAGAAAAGAAACACAUUUGUCUUCUCUCAGCCAACACUGGUUCGCCUGCCUGCACGGUGAGCUCCAAAUGACUCCAUUUGAGACUUUUUUGAGGGACACUUGCCCUUGGAACCCAGCCACCAUGUUAUAAGGAGGUUGAGGACAUGUGCAGAGGCUGCAUCCGGACAUUCCAUCUGACAACUCUCACCAGGCUCCAGGCAGCCGCUAGCAUUAAUUGCCAGACACAUGAAGAAAUUGAGACCUAAGAAAAUUAAGAGCCAAGUUCAAGACCACAUAACUAAGAAUCUCAGUUCUGCUCAAGUGAGCGUGCUCUCUACCUGGCUAACUCCGGCCCUAGCAGAGAAGGCGAUCUUUUGCGCUGGCUGCUCUCCGACAUGGCCCACAUGAUGCAUUCAACAGAGGACGUGCUCUAAAGAUGUACUGUACCCCAGAGUCAACUGUGGUCUGCAAGCAGAAGGUUUGUGAGUAACUGACUAUCAGAAGGUCAGUGAGUAAUUUGAAGCUAUGUCACAAAGCCUCCAUCAUUCAUGUCACUGCAUCUCCUCACCCAGGCACCUCAUCAUCUCAUGUCAUCACCAGA